GAUGAACGCUGGCGGCGUGCUUAACACAUGCAAGUCGAACGGAAAGGCCCAAGCUUGCUUGGGUACUCGAGUGGCGAACGGGUGAGUAACACGUGGGUGAUCUGCCCUGCACUUCGGGAUAAGCCUGGGAAACUGGGUCUAAUACCGGAUAGGACGAUGGUUUGGAUGCCAUUGUGGAAAGUUUUUUCGGUGUGGGAUGAGCUCGCGGCCUAUCAGCUUGUUGGAGGGGUAAUGGCCUACCAAGGCGUCGACGGGUAGCCGGCCUGAGAGGGUGUACGGCCACAUUGGGACUGAGAUACGGCCCAGACUCCUACGGGAGGCAGCAGUGGGGAAUAUUGCACAAUGGGCGCAAGCCUGAUGCAGCGACGCCGCGUGGGGGAUGACGGCCUUCGGGUUGUAAACUCCUUUCGCUAGGGACGAAGCGUUUUGUGACGGUACCUGGAGAAGAAGCACCGGCUAACUACGUG
RNAcentral lists this ribosomal RNA (467 nucleotides) under uncultured bacterium. Its description in RNAcentral is "partial 16S ribosomal RNA". It matches the Rfam family "Bacterial small subunit ribosomal RNA", at positions 28 to 507 of the family's 1533-position model. The record is from RNAcentral.